GACGAACGCUGGCGGCGUGCCUAAUACAUGCAAGUCGAACGCAGUGGGGACGGGUGAGUAACACGUGGGUAACCUCCCAUCAGAGGGGAUAACACUUGGCAACAGGUGCUAAACCGAUACUGUUGGAUGCACCCGCGGUGCAUUAGCUAGUUGGUGAGGUAACGGCUCACCAAGGCCACGAUUCAUAGCCGGCCUGAGAGGGUGAUCGGCCACACUGGAACUGAGACACGGCCCAGACUCCUACGGGAGGCAGCAGUAGGGAAGCUUCGGAAAUGGACGAAAGUCUGACCGAGCAACGCCGCGUGAGUGAAGAAGGUCUUCGGGUCGUAAAGCUCUGUUGUUAGAGAAGCGGUAUCUAACCAAAAAGCCACGGCUAACUACGUGCCAGCAGCCGCGGUAAUUC
This 403-nucleotide ribosomal RNA is filed under the name uncultured bacterium. RNAcentral describes it as "partial 16S ribosomal RNA". It matches the Rfam family "Bacterial small subunit ribosomal RNA", at positions 28 to 526 of the family's 1533-position model. The record is from RNAcentral.